UUGACCUCGGAUCAGGUAGGAAUACCCGCUGAACUUAAGCAUAUCAAUAAGCGGAGGAAAAGAAACCAACAGGGAUUGCCCUAGUAACGGCGAGUGAAGCGGCAACAGCUCAAAUUUGAAAUCUGGCUCUCGGGCCCGAGUUGUAAUUUGUAGAGGAUACUUUUGAUGCGGUGCCUUCCGAGUUCCCUGGAACGGGACGCCAUAGAGGGUGAGAGCCCCGUCUGGUUGGAUGCCAAAUCUCUGUAAAGUUCCUUCGACGAGUCGAGUAGUUUGGGAAUGCUGCUCUAAAUGGGAGGUAUAUGUCUUCUAAAGCUAAAUACCGGCCAGAGACCGAUAGCGCACAAGUAGAGUGAUCGAAAGAUGAAAAGCACUUUGAAAAGAGAGUUAAAAAGUACGUGAAAUUGUUGAAAGGGAAGCGUUUAUGACCAGACUUGGGCUUGGUUAAUCAUCUGGGGUUCUCCCCAGUGCACUUUUCCAGUCCAGGCCAGCAUCAGUUUUCCCCGGGGGAUAAAGACUUCGGGAAUGUGGCUCUCUUCGGGGAGUGUUAUAGCCCGUUGUGUAAUACCCUGGGGGGGACUGAGGUUCGCGCUCGCAGGAUGCGC
RNAcentral lists this ribosomal RNA (602 nucleotides) under Fusarium proliferatum. RNAcentral describes it as "eukaryotic LSU rRNA". It matches the Rfam family "Eukaryotic large subunit ribosomal RNA", at positions 1 to 613 of the family's 3401-position model. Lineage: Eukaryota; Fungi; Ascomycota; Sordariomycetes; Hypocreales; Nectriaceae. The record is from RNAcentral.